RNAcentral lists this long non-coding RNA (7835 nucleotides) under Malus domestica (apple). RNAcentral's name for it is "long non-coding RNA (MDOM_LNC008615)". The record is from RNAcentral. Lineage: Eukaryota; Viridiplantae; Streptophyta; Magnoliopsida; Rosales; Rosaceae.
CACAACUGAAGGUAAUCAAUUCAUAUUACAAAUAUAUUCAUGGUUUCGAAUUAACCUCUAGCCAAAAUAAAUUAGUUACACAUUAUUACAAAUUAAACCAAACGUAAAUCAUGAGUUUGAGAAGAUAACACCAAUAAGAACGGAGUGAAGCCCUCUGCCUCUGUGCUCAUCUUCUUCCCUGGCUGUCCUGCCCUCUGAACUGCCCUCUCACCUACCCUCUGACCUCUCUCCUGCUUCUCUCCUUUUCGCUGCCAAAGGCAGCGUUUCUUAUCUCCUCUUUUCACGCUGCCCAAGCAGCUCCCUCCAAUCUGUCCCGUACCUCUCUGCCUUCUAAUUUCCUUUUAUUUUCUGCCUUCCUGUGUCUUCCAGCUCACGCUGUCUCUCUCUACAUAGCUGCCAACGCAGCCUUUUCUUUCAUUUUUCGCACUGCCCACGUCUCCUGCUCUCUGCUGCAAAGGCAGCUCCUCCAAUUCCUCCAGCUGGACUCUCCCCUUUAUUUCUCUGCGUGAGCUGCAUUUCUUCUCACCCCGCGUCACCCCUAUUAUACUUUUAUUCCUCUUUCCGGUUUUAUCUCUCCGUGCCUCACUCCUUUUCCACCUUUCACGCCUGCUUUCUUCUUUUCUCCUUCUUGGAUUCUUUUGUUGUCUAGUUGGAAAGCCACGCUUGGUAAACAGAUAUUGGAAAAAUCAAUGCCGUGGUGCAUAUAUACAUUCUGCAUAGGUUUAGGGACAGAGAUUUAGUUCAAUUAUAAUCGCAAUGAAUAAACUAAAUUAAUUGACCUACAAAAAAAAUCAUAAUGUUCGAAGUAACUAUUCUGUUUAUUAUUUAAAACUCAUUUGUGCUAUUUUUAUUUUCUUUGCAUAACAGAUCCUAUAAACACAAAAAUAACGUAAAUAGCUCAAAAAUAUAAGGAACUGACUAAGAAAAGACGAGUGAAUUCGAAGUAAAAAUAUAUAUAAAUAUGAUCCGAUCAAAUACCCCCACACUUAACUUUUGCUAGUCCUCGAGCAAAACAAAGAAAACAUGAAAAAGUAAUAACAUGAAAAACAUUAGCUUCCCUCUAUGUGACCCUCAUAGAAUUUCAUUCAAGAAAACAAAUCAUCAAGAACCAUAGCUAGCAAGGAACUAAUCCAAGUUCAUCUUCCUUAUUCAAAUAUUAGCAGUAAUCUUUAAAUCAUCCUUGAAGUGUAGUGUGUGAGAUAGCCAUGCUAAUGCAAUUUCAAGUUUUUAUUUUUAAAAUCAUCAUAUGCAAACUAGCGACCUUCUCACUGAAUAUUCACUCAAUCACACAUGUGUUUAGUUUUAAUGUGUUUCGCUCAAAAAAUCAAAUGUGAAAUUUCUACCAUAAGCUUGCAUAAAGAUCACUUCUCCACAGUCAUAAUUGCAAAACUUAAAUCAAGAGGACUUUUAUUGGAUGUAAUGAGGUUUAGGGAUAGGGUUAUUGAAACGAUAGAAUAGGAAAACACAAGUUCCAAGCUACAUUGCAAGCAAUUCUUUUCUUUAGAUUUAUAAGAACUCAAGCUCUCCAGCAAUUCUUCUAGCACCUCCAACCACAACCUUAAACUGAAACUUUAAAAACUUUUUAUUUCAUUUGUAUACAAUCUUUCUUUUUCUUUUUCUUUUCUUCUCUUUUCUCUUUUUUUUUUUUUUUUUAAAUACAAACAUGAAAUACCCCCACACUUAUUCUUUUGCCAAACACCUUCAAAGUACUUCACAAGCGUUUCUCAUAAGACAAUCUUGCAUUGCUCGCUUGGAAAGGGUAAGGAAAAAAUGUUUCAGGUAUAAGGGUAGACAUAUCUGGUGAUAAGAAAUAAAAGGUUCAACAUACACGGCUCAAAUUGGCAAUCUAAUGAUAUCAUUUUUAUUUGGGAAACAUGGUUAUUUGGGCCAUAGUGGUAAACCUAAUGCCUCUAUCAUUUCCAAGUUCAUGCAAUCAAUGACAAACAUUUCGAAAGAUCGUUACGCAAGUUCUAGAGAUGUAUCUCACAUAAGUUCAUCACACAUGAAAAGAAUAGGAGUGUAUGAAAAAUGCACACACUUUCAAUAGGCUCAAAAACUCACAUAGGAUGUAUAUGGUCACUAAAUUCACAUAUGAAGCUUUAAGUCAUACUUUAGUUUCACAUUAACAAGACUAUGUGCAUUUGGUUUUUCAAAGAUGAUCAAACAUGUACAAAACUAACAAGAGAAUUAGGAAUUUCACAAAACACAUGUUAACUAAGUUCUUGAUGAUCAUGGUUCAAAUUUGAUCCAAUUAUAUCAUUGGGUCGGGAAACUAACAAAAAAUCUAAUUCAAAACAAUAAGGGAAACAAGACAAUAUUUUUGGAUUUUUAAAUUUUCCGAUUUUUUUUUUAUUUUUUAUUUAUUUAUUUUUUAAUGAAAACAAAACUAAUUAAGAAAACAAAAAGCAACAACACAGAAACAAAUGAAACCAGUUCGUAGUUUGAAGGUACAAAAAAAUUUCAAUUUGGUCAUUUUUUAUACUCUUUACCCCCAAACUUAAACUGGACAUUGUCCCCAAUGUCAGAAAACACUAUAAUGCAAAUAAAAAUAAAAUAAAUAAAUAAUAAGAAACAAAAUAAAACAAUUGGACUGAAAACUUCCCUAAUUUGCAGUAAAAUCAAGCGAUGACCCCCAAGCUAAAAUUCUGCAAUCAACUUCAAGGGUGGAAAUAACCAAAAGUUCCUGCAAAGAAAAGAAAUAAUUCAGUUUAGUAACACAAGAAAAUAUAAAAAAAAAUUGCAAACGAAAAAUUGAAAAUCACGAUAAAAGACAAUGAAUAGAACUAAUAAGUGAUCAUUGGUCGUGCUUGUUGACUUUCCACAGCUUUCCUCUUGAACAGGGUGACACUUAGCUUUUUACUUGCAAGUGAUGAUUUGAUGAUAUUGUACGGCGAGGCUUUGCUCUUUGGCGAUGUUGUUGUUCCUUAUUUGUUCUCCAAGCAGAUGUGGCAGCUUCUCUAGUUCUUCAGCUCGGACUCCUUGUGCUGGGUUGAUUGUACGAGCUGCAUUCUUUUCUGCUUGUUUCUGCUGCACAACGGGCAGGCACGAGGGAGAGGUGUUAGUCUGUUUCUUUCUUCAAUCUUUCCAAGUGCCCACCUCUUGCUCUCUUUCUCCUUGUCCCUAGCUGAAUUGUCUCCACAUGCUUCGAGGUAUCAUUUUCACUUCCCUUACUGUCCCCCAGGCAGAUGUGGUAGACGAAGAGAAAGCAUAAAAUGAUGAAGAUGAGUACUCGAGAGCAAGGCUAGGUAAGCAAUCAGGAAGGGGUUCCAGGCAGUUGGCUCCAGAUCGGAAGAUUGAUACCAAAUGCUGGCUGAUUGCUCUCUUUCUCCUUGUCGUAAAACAAAGACAAGGAAAAGGACAGGGAGAAAGCAUGAUAUGAGAUACUAUUGCUUUCAACCUUCAUGAUAUGAAAUACUUUUGCUCUGGAUGGGUUGUUUGCAGGGGUAUCCCAGGGAAUGAGGAAUACAGUGUGACUCGAGAGGGUUCUUUGGGAAUGCAUUCUCGGAGAUGAAGAAGUGCUGAGAGGGUGUGCCUUUGCUGUGGAAGGCGAAGGUAAAUACUUAUAGGACUUUUCUUCACAACCGGAACUAUUCUCUCACUCAUUGUCGGUAGCCGGUGGAUGGAUGAAUAGUACAAAUUACGCGCUUUCUGACAAAGAUGCCCGUAAUUUCCGCAAAGCUGCAAGUUGCAUGUGACGAGUGACGACACGUCUGGACAAAUUGAUCUUUUGAAAUCCGGGUUUCGGCUCGUGGUUUCUGAGCAGCCCAUUUUUUGAGAAAUGAAACGCCUCUUUUGAGAAAAGAAUCCGGCUUUUGAGAAAGGAAACUCCUCUUUUGAGAAAAGAAUCAGGCGUUUGAGAAAGGAGCCCCGACUCUUCGAUUUGCGAGAGGACGCUUCUCUGAGGAGCGCCUCUUUGAUUUCUUCUUUUUAUAGAGGCGUUAAUUUGUUCCACAACACACUUGAGCUCCCUCCUGUAAACACUCCCUCCUGUAAACUUCCAAAAUCUUAAUCAGUCCGACUCUCUUCUUUCUUCACCACCUUCAGAAAAUGUCUGGCCCUUCCGAUCGUCGUUUUGACUUGAACAUUGGUGAAGAGGCAGCUCCGCCUUCACCAGACAACAUAUGGCGCCCAUCUUUCAUAUCCCCUACUGGUCCUCUCACCGUUGGGGAUUCGGUGAUGAAAAAUGACAUGACCGCUGCAGUGGUGGCCCGGAACCUUGUCACCCCCAGAGAUAACAGACUGCUCGCUAGACGAUCUGAUGAAUUGGCGGUUAAGGAGUCUCUGGCUCUUAGCGUGCAGUGUGCCGGGUCCGUGUCCAACAUGGCCCAACGCCUAUUUGCCCGAACCCGUCACGUUGAAUCGUUGGUGGCUGAAAUACAGAGUCUCAAAGAGGAGAUUAGAGGACUCAAGCAUGAAAAUAAACAAUUGCAUAAGCUUGCACACAGUUAUGCCACAAACAUGAAGAGGAAAAUUGACCAGCUGCAGGAAACUGAUGGUCAGAUUUUACUUGAUCACCGGAGGUUUGUGGGUUUGUUCCAACCGCAUCUGCCUUCGUCUUCUGGGGCGGCACCGCGUAGUGAAGCUCCAACUGAUCAACCUCUGUUGCCUCCUCCUUCUGUGGCCCCGCCGACUGUUGAAGCACCGCCGACUACUGAAGCACCACCUGACCAAUGAAUGCUAUUAGUUUACACAUCAUUGUAAAAUAUUUUUACUUUUAUGUUUUUUUUUUUUUUUUUUUUAAAUAUGUAAAUUAAUGUAAAAAGACUUUGUUUAACCUUCCCCCACACUUAAACUACAAACUCACAGAAAUCAACCAAAUAACACAACCAACUAAACAAAACAAAAUGAAAGCAGUAAAGAUAAGGGUGUAAGAAUGCAAAUCUGAUUUGGUUAGCGAUUCCAAAGUCUCCCUUCGUUGAAUGCUUGGGUUGCCUCCCAAGAAGCGCUUGAUUUAACGUCUUUAGCGGGACGAAUCUUUCCUUUAAAUUCCCCUCGGCUCCAAAGCAUGGAAUUUAUCUUUUAAUGGGAGGUGAUACUUGAAAUGAUUCGGCAAUGGUUUAAAUUCAAGAGUGGGUGCCUGAAUCAUCAAAAUCAGAAAAAUGUUAGUAUAAAUAAAAAUUAAAAUUGGAGAAGAUGGCUUACUUUCUUUUUCCGACACAAACUCAAUGACAAACACCACAUUUUUGAACAUUUCCGGGACUUUGAACUUGGCUAGGUUUACUAUGAUGGUUGUGGCUUGUCCCGUGUCAUCAAACUCAACCACUUUGGGCUUGAUUGUCUCAUGCACAGCCUCUUGGAUGUAUUCUUGAUAUGCUUCAACCACUUCGUUCUCUUGAAUCCAUUUUCUUGGUGUGCAAGGUUCUUUGAACGUUUCAAUACCAUCGGGAACUUGUUUUGGUGCACCAAGAAUUGGGAUAUCACUUUGCACCUUUGGAAGAGCUUCCACAAUGUCUUUUUCACUCUCUUUGUUAUUUGGAAUAAAAAACCUGCACGGACAAAGGACAUUCGGUGGAAUAACAUUAGAAUGAAAUGAAUUUAGAACUUCCUCACCUGAGUUGGAUGACAUAGGGAUUUGAGGAGUUUGCAGCAAGAAUUCUUCUAAACUGCCCAGGUCGUCCUCCUCCUCUUCUGCUUGCAGCAGCAAUUCAUCCAUGUUCGGGCUGUGUUUGGAUGGUUCUGGGACAGCUUCAUCCUUCAUGUCACCUUCCAAAGUGAUGGAUUCAUCGAUUUCAAAAUCUUCCUUCGAAUUUUCAACAGUUGAGUUGGAGAGUUCACUUUGCUCUUGAAUUUGUACCAUGAAUUCCAUAAUCUCUCCCAUUUGACUCUUCAAUUUAUCCAACUCCUUGUCUUGAUUUUGUUGGUCCUGCGUCAAAGAGGUUAGUACUUGAAGAAUUUGAUCACUAUCCAUGGACAUACUUGAAUUAGAUUGGAAUUGUUGUGGGGUAUGCGGUGGUGGCUGUAUAGGUGUGGUGUAGAACUCCUCAUAUGGCUGCCAAUAUGCAUCUUGUUGAGCCUCCUUGGCUUGAUUUUGUGAGCCCUGCACCAAACAAUUUAAUUCAUUAAGAAUUUGAUUAUAAUUUAUUGACGAACCUGAGUUUGAUUGAGCAUAUUGCAUAGGUUUUGAAUAGAACUCCUCCUCUUGCUGCCAAUAUCCAUCUUGUUGGAAUUGUUGAGGUUCCCCCCACAUAUAAUUUGAAUGACCUCUCCAAUCUGAAUUGUAAGCGUUGGAAAACAUGUUGCCCCUUGAUUGGUUAUGGCCUUGAUAUCCCCAAACAUCUUCAUUUGCAGAAAAUUGAGGACUUUGAUAACCUUGCCCAUAGGGCACAUCAAAUGUAGGGACACUUGGCAUUGUGGUCCGUUCGGCAUAAUGAGUCAAUUGGGCAGUGAGCUGUGCCAAUUGAGCUUGAAUGGUCGCAAGUGCCAUGUCUUGCUCCAUUUGUACCUAAAAUCAAAGAAAGAAAAAUAAAUCAAAUACUAAAAGUAAAAUACACAAACACCAAUAUAAACAUAAACAAAAACAAAAAUAAAGGGAUUAGCAAAGUUGCUAAUCCCCGGCAACGGCGCCAAAAUUUGAUGUGAAAAUUACUUGACACACAAAUUAAACCCUCUUUUUUGACAAUUGUAGUAUAGAUGUAAGUAGGGUAUCGUUCUAGGCCGGGGAUUAGGAGGGAUUGCUAAUCUAUUCUAAAUUAAUUUAAAAAUAUUAAACAAGACUCAAUGACACAAAACUAGGCUAAAAAACUCUAAUAACUCGAAACACACUAAGAAUGACUCAAAAUAAUAAAAACAAUCAAAUUGGAUACUAGGAACUGAAAUGAACGGAAAUUGAAUUAAAAGACUAACAACAAUGAAAACUAACUAAAUAAUAUAAUUUAAUAAUGGGGGGUUUGGUUUUGACGAGAAGUAAAUUAAACUUAAAUAAAUUACAGAAUUGACAAAAACAUGAAAUUAAGGUGAAAGGAUAGGUGAUGGAUUAGCUAGAGGGUUCUUCUCCACACAUGACACAUAUGCAACCUAAAUUGAUUUUCAGUUGUUCUUUCAAUAAGUUGUGAAUCUCAACACUUCAGAUUAACCGUGAACAGCACUUUUUUAAUCUUCAAGUUUUUCCUUAAGUUAUUGAAUUGGACGGAAAACGCAUACAACAAUUCAAAACAUUCUUCAAAAGUCCCCUACGUGAAAAGCACAAUAGAGAUACAAUCAAAGAUCAUUAAACUUUGUGAAAACUAUAAGCAUUGACGAUGCAUUCGUAACUAUGAAAAGCAUGAUACUCUUGCCAAGAAUUCACUUAACACGAUUGUGGAUAACAACCUUCACUACUUGUGAAUAUAAGUUCAUAACGAUUAGGUGAAAUUCACUUAUAUUCUAGCAUCAAAUUCAUGCAUGUAAAUUAAGUAUGCAUCCUUAAUCGACAUACAAAAAUAAGUUAUCAAUCAAGCAGUUAAGCAAAUUAAAUCACAACUCAGAAAUCACAACUGAAGGUAAUCAAUUCAUAUUACAAAUAUAUUCAUGGUUUCGAAUUAACCUCUAGCCAAAAUAAAUUAGUUACACAUUAUUAACAAAUUAAACCAAACGUAAAUCAUGAGUUUGAGAAGAUAACACCAAUAAGAACGGAGUGAAGCCCUCUGCCUCUGUGCUCCUCUUCUUCCCUGGCUGUCCUGCCCUCUGAACUGCCCUCUCACCUGCCCUCUGACCUCUCUCCUGCUUCUCUCCUUUUCGCUGCCAAAGGCAGCGUUUCUUAUCUCCUCUUUUCACGCUGCCCAAGCAGCUCCCUCCAAUCUGUCCCGUACCUCUCUGCCUUCUAAUUUCCUUUUAUUUUCUGCCUUCCUGUGUCUUCC